This is a small nucleolar RNA of Erpetoichthys calabaricus (reedfish), 74 nucleotides long. Lineage: Eukaryota; Metazoa; Chordata; Cladistia; Polypteriformes; Polypteridae. The record is from Ensembl.
CUCAGUGAUGAUAUACCUGAAUAGGAAGUGCCGUCUGAUGCGAAAACUGACGAUGUUUCAGGUUUAAUCUGAGC